AGGGGUGUAGCUCCGUGUUAGAGCACUUGCCUAGCAGGCAUGAGGUCCUGGGUUCAAUCUCCAGUACUGCAA
This 72-nucleotide transfer RNA is filed under the name Marmota marmota marmota (Alpine marmot). It matches the Rfam family "tRNA". Rfam says of the family: Transfer RNA (tRNA) molecules are approximately 80 nucleotides in length. Lineage: Eukaryota; Metazoa; Chordata; Mammalia; Rodentia; Sciuridae. RNAcentral also lists the same sequence under 1 other name. The record is from Rfam by way of RNAcentral.